GGGAAUAUGGAGAGCUCAGUGGGGU
RNAcentral lists this non-coding RNA (25 nucleotides) under Rattus norvegicus (Norway rat). The record is from RNAcentral. Lineage: Eukaryota; Metazoa; Chordata; Mammalia; Rodentia; Muridae.